CUUUCUCCUCUGUUUAUUGUGGCUAUUUUUUGUUCCUAACAAGAUUCACUCGACACACAGAGUAGAGAAAAUGCUAUCAGCUCAGGAAAAAGAGAAAAGAAAAAGAAGUUGGUCAGCUAAUAAUAGCUCCCUUUGCAGGCACUCUCAGAUCCAAACAUCAUCCGCUACAACACCUCCUCCUAUGCUCACCCCCCAUCUGUUCUUCUGCUAGAAAAGGAUGGAAAAAGAAGGGUAAGCAGAAGCAGGAGAAAUGGGGAGAUGCUGCAGGAGUCGGGAGGAAAGGAACAGAUGAUGGUGUUUGCUUGAUGCUGAGCAGGCUCGGAGAUGGAGAUGGCAGACAUGUCUGCCACUUCUGUGUGGCCAUGCGUGGGACAGCUUCAUCCCUCCUCCCCCAACUUGACCUGCUGUAGCCCCUCAGACUGACAUCGGCAGAAAGCCUGUUGUUUUGUCUCAAAAACUCCUCCUCAGCCAAAGGUCAAGGUUCAGCCAGCAGCGGGUGGGAGAGACCGCUCCAUAUGGAGUUUGAAAGAGAACUGAAGUGGCUGCACUGUGAGUUAAUUUCAUGUCAAUAAAUGUUCUUGAGGUAUUUGCUGUUUUGAUAUGCCGCAGGAGUUUCCUCCUGUUCUUAUGUCAAUUCACCAAUGCACCAUGGUUUCAUAUCCCACUCAAGCUGCAGCUAAUGCUGCAUCCAAAAACACCUGAAACCAUAAGGAGAGGACAUUGAGGUUUGCAAGACAUUUUCACAUGCAAAAAGUAGUUUAUGCCUUUAAUCUCGCUUCAUGCAGGAGAUUUAUAGUUGAAUAAUCAAAGGCAUUAAAGGUCUGCUUUGC
This is a long non-coding RNA of Oryzias latipes (Japanese medaka), 830 nucleotides long. RefSeq lists it as uncharacterized. The record is from RefSeq and is a predicted model, not a curated record. NCBI's taxonomy places the organism in Eukaryota, Metazoa, Chordata, Actinopteri, Beloniformes, Adrianichthyidae.